This is a long non-coding RNA of Serinus canaria (Common canary), 535 nucleotides long. RefSeq lists it as uncharacterized. Lineage: Eukaryota; Metazoa; Chordata; Aves; Passeriformes; Fringillidae. The transcript is spliced from 4 exons. The record is from RefSeq and is a predicted model, not a curated record.
CUGCCGAGCGAGGGAAGGACGAGAGGCGGGAGCGAGCGGCGGGUGGAGCGUUGUCCUUAAAUAGAGGGGAGGGGAGAAAGGGAUUCGGGAGCGCGAAGGGACGCGGUCGCUCCGUGCCGGAGAGUGGCAGAAAGGUCCCUGCUGCUUGCCCUGUCCUCGGUGGGCAGAGAGCUCUGACCUCCGCCGGAUGGGCUGCCGAUUUCGAAGCACUCUGCAGAGAUCUGCCUGGGAGGAAAAGCAGAGCCAAGCACUGAGAACUGACAUGUGAGCUCCGCCUUGACCCCUCUGGCUCAAAGACAGCACCUGGAUACAUAGGGAGGGAGGGAGAGAAAUCCUCUCUUGACAUGUGCCAAUUAAUCUGUGAAACUGAUCCCGGCAGGACAGCGUGAAGACUGAAAGUGUAAGAAGAUGUGGGGUGCAAUGGAGAAUGUGGCAGGAGCACCCAACACACAAGUGCACGAGUUUUGCUUUUUGCUUGGAUUGAAACUCAGAAGUUGUAAGGAGUUUGGGAAUGAGAUGGGAUUUUUCAGAAGAA